RNAcentral lists this ribosomal RNA (381 nucleotides) under uncultured bacterium. Its description in RNAcentral is "bacterial SSU rRNA". It matches the Rfam family "Bacterial small subunit ribosomal RNA", at positions 28 to 404 of the family's 1533-position model. The record is from RNAcentral.
GACGAACGCUGGCGGCGUGCUUAACACAUGCAAGUCGAGCGGUAAGGCCCUUUCGGGGGUACACGAGCGGCGAACGGGUGAGUAACACGUGGGUGACCUGCCCUCAGCUCUGGGAUAAGCCUGGGAAACCGGGUCUAAUACUGGAUAUGACUCCAUGACGCAUGUUGUGGGGUGGAAAGCCUUGUGCGGCUGAGGAUGGGCCCGCGGCCUAUCAGCUUGUUGGUGGGGUGANGGCCUACCAAGGCGACGACGGGUAGCCGGCCUGGAGAGGGCGACCGGCCACACGUGGGACUGAGACACGGCCCAGACUCCGUACGGGAGGCAGCAGGUGGGGAAUCUUGCGCAAGUGGGACGAAAGCCUGACGCAGCGACGCCGCGUGA